CACAUGCAAGUCGAGGGGCAGCGGGAUUGAAGCUUGCUUCAAUUGCCGGCGACCGGCGCACGGGUGAGUAACGCGUAUCCAACCUUCCGUACACUCAGGGAUAGCCUUUCGAAAGAAAGAUUAAUACCUGAUGGUAUGAUGAGAUUGCAUGAUAGCAUCAUUAAAGAUUCAUCGGUGUACGAUGGGGAUGCGUUCCAUUAGGUAGUAGGCGGGGUAACGGCCCACCUAGCCUACGAUGGAUAGGGGUUCUGAGAGGAAGGUCCCCCACAUUGGAACUGAGACACGGUCCAAACUCCUACGGGAGGCAGCAGUGAGGAAUAUUGGUCAAUGGACGAGAGUCUGAACCAGCCAAGUAGCGUGAAGGAUGAAGGUCCUACGGAUUGUAGACUUCUUUUAUAAGGGAAUAAAACCUCCCACGUGUGGGAGCUUGUAUGUACCUUAUGAAUAAGCAUCGGCUAACUCCGUGCCAGCAGCCGCGGUAAUACGGAGGAUGCGAGCGUUAUCCGGAUUUAUUGGGUUUAAAGGGAGCGCAGACGGGUCGUUAAGUCAGCUGUGAAAGUUUGGGGCUCAACCUUAAAAUUGCAGUUGAUACUGGCGUCCUUGAGUGCGGUUGAGGUGUGCGGAAUUCGUGGUGUAGCGGUGAAAUGCUUAGAUAUCACGAAGAACUCCGAUUGCGAAGGCAGCACACUAAGCCGUAACUGACGUUCAUGCUCGAAAGUGUGGGUAUCAAACAGGAUUAGAUACCCUGGUAGUCCACACGGUAAACGAUGGAUACUCGCUGUUGGCGAUAUACUGUCAGCGGCUUAGCGAAAGCGUUAAGUAUCCCACCUGGGGAGUACGCCGGCAACGGUGAAACUCAAAGGAAUUGACGGGGGCCCGCACAAGCGGAGGAACAUGUGG
RNAcentral lists this ribosomal RNA (900 nucleotides) under uncultured bacterium. RNAcentral describes it as "bacterial SSU rRNA". It matches the Rfam family "Bacterial small subunit ribosomal RNA", at positions 52 to 944 of the family's 1533-position model. The record is from RNAcentral.